AUCCGACUGAUGAGUCCAUAAUAGGACGAAACUCGCAUCCUGGAU
This 45-nucleotide non-coding RNA is filed under the name Trichobilharzia regenti. The record is from RNAcentral. Lineage: Eukaryota; Metazoa; Platyhelminthes; Trematoda; Strigeidida; Schistosomatidae.